UACCAGCACCCCGAGUGGUCGGGACGAUUAUUGGGCCUAAAGCAUCCGUAGCCGGUUCUGCAAGUCCCCCGUUAAAUCCAGCUGCUCAACAGAUGGGCCGCGGAGGAUACUACAGAGCUAGGAGGCAGGAGAGGCAAGCGGUACUCAGUGGGUAGGGGUAAAAUCCGUUGAUCCAUUGAAGACCACCAGUGGCGAAGGCGGCUUGCCAGAAUGCGCUCGACGGUGAGGGAUGAAAGCUGGGGAAGCAAACCGG
Molecule: ribosomal RNA, 253 nt
Filed under: uncultured bacterium
Lineage: Bacteria
Description: partial 16S ribosomal RNA
Rfam family: Archaeal small subunit ribosomal RNA
Source: RNAcentral